UACGUAGGGUGCGAGCGUUGUCCGGAAUUAUUGGGCGUAAAGAGCUUGUAGGCGGUUUGUCGCGUCUGCCGUGAAAAUCCGGGGCUCAACCCCGGACUUGCGGUGGGUACGGGCAGACUAGAGUGUGGUAGGGGAGACUGGAAUUCCUGGUGUAGCGGUGAAAUGCGCAGAUAUCAGGAGGAACACCGAUGGCGAAGGCAGGUCGCUGGGCCACUACUGACGCUGAGAAGCGAAAGCGUGGGGAGCGAACAGG
This 253-nucleotide ribosomal RNA is filed under the name uncultured bacterium. RNAcentral's name for it is "partial 16S ribosomal RNA". It matches the Rfam family "Bacterial small subunit ribosomal RNA", at positions 524 to 776 of the family's 1533-position model. The record is from RNAcentral.